CCCAGACUCCUACGGGAGGCAGCAGUGAGGAAUAUUGGUCAAUGGCCGAGAGGCUGAACCAGCCAAGUCGCGUGAGGGAAGACGGUCCUACGGAUUGUAAACCUCUUUUGCCGGGGAGCAACGGGGUCCUUGCGAGGGCCCAAUGAGAGUACCCGGAGAAAAAGCAUCGGCUAACUCCGUGCCAGCAGCCGCGGUAAUACGGAGGAUGCGAGCGUUAUCCGGAUUUAUUGGGUUUAAAGGGUGCGUAGGCGAAGUGUCAAGUCAGCGGUAAAAUUUCGGGGCUCAACCCCGUCGUGCCGUUGAAACUGACACCCUUGAGUGAGUGAGAAGUAAGCGGAAUGCGUGGUGUAGCGGUGAAAUGCAUAGAUAUCACGCAGAACUCCGAUUGCGAAGGCAGCGUACCGGCGCCCAACUGACGCUGAAGCACGAAGGCGUGGGUAUCGAGCAGGAUUAGAUACCCGCGUACA
This 467-nucleotide ribosomal RNA is filed under the name uncultured bacterium. RNAcentral describes it as "bacterial SSU rRNA". It matches the Rfam family "Bacterial small subunit ribosomal RNA", at positions 330 to 794 of the family's 1533-position model. The record is from RNAcentral.